GAUCGUGUAGUUUAAGUAAAAUAGUAGAUUGCAAAUCUGAAGAUGGUUGGCCUACGAUCU
Molecule: transfer RNA, 60 nt
Filed under: Streptocephalus sirindhornae
Lineage: Eukaryota; Metazoa; Arthropoda; Branchiopoda; Anostraca; Streptocephalidae
Description: tRNA-Cys
Source: RNAcentral